UUCUAGCCCUGAUUGUAGCGGCAUCCUUUUGUCUGCCUUACGCAACGGAGUGGAGAAAGAUAGACAAAAGAUAUAGCGGAAAGCAGGUUCCCGG
Molecule: small RNA, 94 nt
Filed under: Epilithonimonas zeae
Lineage: Bacteria; Pseudomonadati; Bacteroidota; Flavobacteriia; Flavobacteriales; Weeksellaceae
Description: Chryseobacterium zeae Flavo-1 RNA
Rfam family: Flavo-1 RNA
Source: RNAcentral